RNA transcript from Nerophis ophidion (straightnose pipefish), 4803 nucleotides. It is a transcript of the gene named major histocompatibility complex class I-related gene protein-like, with no coding region annotated. The record is from RefSeq and is a predicted model, not a curated record. The transcript is spliced from 8 exons. Lineage: Eukaryota; Metazoa; Chordata; Actinopteri; Syngnathiformes; Syngnathidae.
CGUCCAUUUCAUGUUUACUCGUCAAGCAAGUUGUCGUCGCCUUGCUUUUCUCUGAGGAUUAAAACUAGAAACUUUGGUUUUUUCUGGACUUCCGCACUUUUGUGACAUUUAAUGAUGAACUUGCUUUGCUUCUUCCUCCUAGUUGUACAAACACACAGCGUGACGCCUGUGAUUCACACGCUGCAGUAUUUCACCACCGCAUGCUCUCAAGUUCCAAACUUCCCAGAGUAUGUGAGUGUUGGUUAUGUUGAUGAAGUUGAGGUGAGUUACUAUGACAGCAACAUCAGGAAAGCAGAAUCCAAACAGGACUGGAUGAACAAAAUCACAGCAGAGGAUCCAAACUACUGGCAGAGACAAACAGAGAACAAUGUUGUUAGAGAACAUGUCUUCAAAGACAACAUUGAAAUAGCCAUGAAGCGUUUCAACCAAACUGGAGGUGUUCACACUUACCAGGAGAUGACAGGAUGUGAAUGGAAUGAUGAGACUGAUGAAGUUAAAGGUUGGAAGCAGUACAGUUAUGAUGGAGAAGAUUUCAUAUCGUUGGACAUGAAGACAUGGACAUGGACUGCAGCAAAACAACAAGCUUUCCCCUCCAAACUCAAGUGGGACCAGGACACACUUCAUCUAGACCACAAGAAGUAUUAUUACACUGAGAUAUGUCCUUCUUACUUGAAGAAGUAUGUGGAGUAUGGGAAGAAGGUCCUAAUGAGAACAGAGCUUCCAAAGGUGUUCCUCCUCCAGAAGACGCCAUCCUCUCCGGUCACCUGCAUGGCGACAGGUUUCUACCCCGACCGAGCCGACUUGUUUUGGAGGAAAGACGGCGAGCAGAUCUUCGAGGACGUGGAGCACGGAGAGCUGCUCCCCAACCACGACGGAACCUUCCAGUUGUCGGUGGAGCUGAAAGUGGAGGUGACGGCCGAGGUGGAGGGCAAGUACGAAUGUGUGUUCCAGCUGUCUGGCGUGAAGGAGGACCUGGUCACCAAGCUGGAGAGAAGAAGCAUCCUGAGCAACGCAAGCCCUGAAGGCAACGUGAGCGUCACUGCCACGCUGGCGGUCCUCGCUGUGGUGCUCCUCCUGGCGGCCCCCAUCAUCAUCAUCUUCAUCAUCAAGCGUCGCCCAAGCAGACAAGCCCAAUACCAUCCAGCUGGUAAGUAAAACAUCAUCUCUUUCUUGGAAACCAGAACAAUAAACAAAGCACACUUUCUGGUGACGGUGGUAACCAGCUCUCAGAGAGACGUGAAGGCUGAAGGCUGAAGGCUGAGUGACACACGGCACAGAUGCUUUGUGCACUGGAACACAGAGAGAUGUCUCCAUCGCUGAGGGACCUCAUCACACUUGGACUUUUCUUUCACAUCUGCACUAUUUGCUCCUCAUCUUACACCAUGUCUUCUUUGGCUGUUUAUGGCUGACAAAACACCUUCAAUCUGCAUUUGUCAACAAUACUUUGUCAGAUGUUGAUCUUUGUGUCCAUGUAGUUGUGAUGUCAUCAUUUGGGGCUCAUGUGUCAUCACAUUGACAAGGAUUUCUUCUUUCCUUUUCAAACCAAUAGACAGCUGCUUAUCAGUGAAUAUCACCUUGUGUCACAUCUCAUCAUUAUUUUUAACAAUAUUUUGGAACAAUAGUACCAUUUUUAACUACUUCCGUAUGCUAAUAUUAAUUGUUUUUGAUGUAACAUUUAAGAAUGUUGAUUAUGAGAACUGCUGUCCAGUUGUUAUAUCUUCUUUUCUGAUGACAUUAGUCUCAUUUGCAAUGCAGUUGCACUUCCAAGACCAUUAGAUGGCAGCACUGUAUAACUGUUUAUGCUAUGUUGUCAAACUAGAAAGUAGCUUUUUUUUCCAGGAAAUUAACUUUUUAGGUUGCGCCCUACAAAGUGUCAAUACUGUAAGAAUAGUUAUUACACAAAAUUGUAAAAUUCGAACUAUAAUCUUAGUAGUUUCCUUUACCAAAUUCCAAGGUGUUGAAAUCGCCAUGUAAAAUCCUUCAUGUAAAUAGUAGCCUGUCUUUGGCAAAUCCUAUGUAAAUUAGCAAUAAGCUAGCGCAUUUUGGAAGAGUGUCGCAUUACUUUAUGUUUGCGCUGUUUUUUUAUUAAGCACUGUGUUGGUGUUGAAAAUGGCAAGGUGACUUAGAGGGAGUUUGGCUGAGUCCGGCCUGAGUGCUGCUUGAGUGAUUGUUUACCUGAGCCCGUGUUUAGUCUGAAAGCAGACAUGACGUCACAUGCAACAAAGGUAUCCAACUUGAUUUUACAUAAUUGAUAGUACUGAGGGAAUUGGGUCAUCACCUACACAAGUACUGAAUUGGGUAGCCAACCUUACCAGUUAGUGUGACGGAGGGGGACAGUGACACAAAAUUUUUAUGACAAAGCAUUGUCAAAUAUUUAUAUUUUUGAAACAAUUUGCUGUUUUUUCCGUUCCUUUUUGCAUAAUCAUAUUUUUUCUUGAUUGCCAAACAUGCCGAGGAUGUCAUUUGGGAAGUAAACAAGGUAGGCCGUUCAUAUACUCUUGAUAUUCAGUGUUUUAUGUGUACAAUGUUUCAUGUACAUUCUGGGGGUUUUAUUCAGUCAAAACUUGUCAAAUACAAUUUCUGUUUUGGAGGUGGUUUGUCAUUACACACAUGAUAACACUUCUUGCUUGCAGUCAUGCAAAACAAGUAUUAAAUGAUCUUAAGCCUUUACCAUGUCCGAAAAGUGACAAUUUGAAAUAUUUUGUCAAUUGUCAACAGAAAGAAUGAAUGACAGAGCUCUUUAUUAAAACACAAUUUUUAAUGGAAAUGACUGCAAAUUUAAGAGAGUAAAAUAACGUAAUUCACCUGUUCUUCUGUUGAUGCUAGUAGUGGAAUGGUAUACACAUCUGCUGUGUGUGACAGUGGGUGUGGGUACGAUUCCAGGUCAGGAUGGGAAGGUAAACAUUGAUCUGAAUCAUCAUGAUUGUUGUGCUGUGGCGACCUCUCAUGGGAAAAAAUGAAAGACAUUUACUGAUUUAAUUCUAUUAAUUGUAUUAUUUUGCACUCAUACAUUAAUUAUUUGGUCAUGUUUUUAUUACAAUGUGAUCUUAUUACUCCGAGACGUGUGUAAUUAAAUACAGGUUUCAGUCAAAUAGUAAAACAUGUUUUUCACAAUGUCAGGUUCAAACAUCGAUGACAUUUAUUAAACAAGACAAGAAGCAAGGAAAUAAAUAGAGACGGAAUUCAAUUUUGCUCGGUUUGAGGAGAAACAUGUCGACCUGUAACCUCUUACAGUGUCACCCACGCGCUCACGGAAAAAUGUUCACGUCUCCUCUUUUAUUUGGAUAUUCCCUGUUUACAUAACAGCAGCUGUUUCUAAAGGAAUGGGGGUAUGUAAACAGCCAUUGUUUUCGGUCACAUUAACACAAAAGAAAAAGAUACCUCAGGCUUGUACUGGUCCUGGAUCGAGCUUGGGCAAGUCUUGGAUCACAAUAGCUAACCCUUCCCGUCUCUUCCCAUCGUACACAGUGGUAUUUUCCAAGCCUUUGGAUUAUUGCAACAAAGACAGCUUCCGUCUGUUCACUGGGAACUCAGAGAACGGAAAGUUUUUUUGAUAAUUUACAUACAAUAUUUCUGACACACAUAAAUAAAGAAGGCAAAAACAAGCAAACAAACAGAAAAAUCACCAUGCCAGUAGAGAUGAAGACAAUCUGCCAACAAAAUGUCUCCUACUUAUUUUUUCAGAGAGUUGUCAAGCCUGCGUGUGAUGAUGUGGCCUGCCAGUUAAAAAGUUUGCCCAAGUUAUUCUAGUCACGUAUGCACAGAUGAGAUGUGUCAGUAACAAAAUAUUACUUUGCAUCACUUUUUGGCAACCAACAAUUCAUUGAUUGAAUUAAUACAUCCAAACACUUUAUUGAUAUGUAUGAUGUGCAUGAACAAAGAACAGUUGAUGUUGUAUGUAGCUUAUAAACAAGGAAGAGCUUUGUAACACAUCAACAUCAACAAGUCCUUUAAAAUCUCAUUAAUGUCACAGAAUUGGACAAAUCUUUGACUUUUCCAACCUAGCAAAGGCUUUAGAUCAUGCUACUUUUGUUGAACAAAUGUUUUGCAGGUACAAUAGUCUAGAUAAACCUGCUUUCAAAUCAACUUUAAAGAUACCUUAUCUUUUAUACUUUAUGUUUGAGUGGACUAAAUGUACUGUCAUUUUAGCUGACUAAAAUGUUGUGUGAUGUGGUUGACUUAAACUAAAUCGAUUUAGAUUUAGCAGAGAGAAACUAUUGUUAGUCACCUUGAGACUCUCACUGAAACCUAAUAACCAGGUGAUAAAUCUGGAGGUAAUAAUGGACUCAGACUUGAACUUUAACAGCCGCAUGAAGUCGAUAACAUCAGCAGCUUUUACCACCUGAAACACUUUGUCAACAUCAGAGGAAUAAUGUCUGAAUCAGACUUGGAGAGACUAAGUCUUUGUCUCCAGCAGUUUGGACUACUGUAAUGCUCUUUUCACUUGGCUCUUUAAACCAGCUGUAAAGCAACUGCAGUACACCCAGAAUGCUGCUGCUCAAGUCCUGACUAGAACUAGGAAAUAUGAUCAUAUCAGUCCAUAUCAGUCCUGGCUUCGUGUAGCUACUCAGCUUUCCUCGUGUACAAGUCCUUUCAUGGUCUUGUGCCAAAGUACAUCUCUGACAUGUUAGCUCUGAGAACCUUGUUUUAUGAGGAUUAUUCUUCUUUUAUUUUGAAGUAUUUUCCAUGGUUACUUCCAUUUUAUUGUUGCCUUCUUGUCAUUUUCUGUACAGCACUUUGAAUUGUGCUCUAUAAAUAAACUGGCCUUCCCUAAUUGUUUUCAGAAUAAAACACUUAUUUCCA